UACGAAGGUCCCAAGCGUUGUUCGGAAUCACUGGGCGUAAAGGGAGCGUAGGCGGCGUGGUAAGUCAGAUGUGAAAUCCCGGGGCUCAACCCCGGAACUGCAUCCGAUACUGCCAUGCUAGAGGAUUGGAGAGGUAGCUGGAAUUCUUGGUGUAGCAGUGAAAUGCGUAGAGAUCAAGAGGAACACUCGUGGCGAAAGCGAGCUACUGGACAAUUCCUGACGCUGAGGCUCGAAGGCUAGGGUAGCGAAAGGGAUUAGAAACCCCCGUAGUCC
Molecule: ribosomal RNA, 273 nt
Filed under: uncultured bacterium
Lineage: Bacteria
Description: partial 16S ribosomal RNA
Rfam family: Bacterial small subunit ribosomal RNA
Source: RNAcentral